This 253-nucleotide ribosomal RNA is filed under the name uncultured bacterium. RNAcentral's name for it is "partial 16S ribosomal RNA". It matches the Rfam family "Bacterial small subunit ribosomal RNA", at positions 524 to 776 of the family's 1533-position model. The record is from RNAcentral.
GACAGAGGGUGCAAACGUUGUUCGGAAUUACUGGGCGUAAAGCGCGUGUAGGCUGCUUCGCAAGUCGGGUGUGAAAGCCCUGGGCUCAACCUAGGAAGUGCACUCGAAACUGCGAAGCUUGAGUUCUGGAGAGGAAGGCGGAAUUCUCGGUGUAGAGGUGAAAUUCGUAGAUAUCGAGAGGAACACCGGUGGCGAAGGCGGCCUUCUGGACAGUGACUGACGCUGAGACGCGAAAGCGUGGGUAGCAAACAGG